Molecule: ribosomal RNA, 406 nt
Filed under: uncultured bacterium
Lineage: Bacteria
Description: partial 16S ribosomal RNA
Rfam family: Bacterial small subunit ribosomal RNA
Source: RNAcentral
AUUGAACGCUGGCGGCAGGCCUAACACCUGCAAGUCGAGCGAGCGGCGGACGGGUGAGUACUGUCUGGGAAACUGCCUGAUGGAGGGGGAUAACUACUGGAACCGGUAGCUAAUACCGCAUCCCAUCAGAUGUGCCCAGAUGGGAUUAGCUAGUAGGUGGGGUAACGGCUCACCUAGGCGACGAGCCCUAGCUGGUCUGAGAGGAUGACCAGCCACACUGGAACUGAGAAACGAUCCAGACUCCUACGGGAGGCAGCAGUGGGGAAUUUUGGACAAUGGGGGAAACCCUGAUCCAGCCAUCCCGCGUGUGCGAUGAAGGCCUUCGGGUUGUAAAGCACUUUUGGCAGGAAAGCGGUACCUGCAGAAUAAGCACCGGCUAACUACGUGCCAGCAGCCGCGGUAAUUC